CUCCAGGCUAGGUUUGAUUGCUUUAGUAUACUGAGGUAAAUAUACCAUGAGUAUGUGUGCUCACCGCCCGUUGCUUUUCUCUUUAGUAACAUUUAUCACAAUAGUAAUCAAAUAUUUACUUAUGAAAUUAGUUAUUUGUUGCUUUUCUGCCUUUUGUGACAGUCUUGUUCAUGCUGCAUCCACAGUGUCAAGUACAGUGCCUGGCACGUAUUCGUGCCUAAUAGAGAUUUGUUGAGUGAAUAAAAUAGCAGUGUCCAAAAGUGCCAUAUACUGUUGAGAUUUGACAAGUCAAAGUCUGAAAGUUGUCCAUCGGAUUUGAAAAAUGCAAGUCAUUGUAUAUUUUAGGAGGAAUGGUUUUGGUAGAAUGGUGGGGACAGAAGCAAGAUUGCAAAAUAUGUUGAAAGGAAAAACAAGACUUAACCACUCUCUAUAGAAACGUUGUAAAACUUGCAAAGUAUUUCUCUACUGAUAGCACUUUUUCCUGAGUUUUACUAAUUCAGUAGAAACUCUCAGAACCCUCCAAAUUACAGUAGGAUAAAAAAUAAAUCCCAAGGCAUGACACUAUGAUUUCCUUUCUCAGUUGACGGUGAAUAGAAUGGAAUAUUCACAUUAAUACAAAUAAUCACAGGUAGGCAGUUCAGAGCAUUCUGCUCCAGAAGGAGCAAAGAGUAACCCAGAUGUUUUUGAUCCCCUCUGCUUAUCACUGAGCCGAAAGUACAGUCAUUUUUUUUAAUACCAGUGGCAUCAAAAAAUAUGUACUGUUUCAUCUCUGUGCUCGACAGGACUUGAAACAAAACCUUAAAAGACCAGCUCUUCACAUAAGCAUGAAAUAGUUUGAAAAUCCUUCUGUAAUGGAAGUGGCCUUGUGAAGACAUUUGUUGUGACGACCUUCCAGAGUGUAUUGUGGGAGGUGCUAUGCGCAAAUGCAAGGGCAGUGCUGUGCAUAGUCUUGGUGUGUUCUACUUACGAAAAGUAAUAAUAGUAAUAAAUACACGUAACACUUGGGGCAAGUUACCUGUUCUAAGCUCUUUACACGCAUUAACUCAUUUAAUCCUCACAAAAAUCCCUGGAGGAAGCUGCCCUUGUUCUUUUAUUACCAAUCAGGAAAGUGAAGCUCAGAGGGCUUGAAUAACUUGCCCGGGGUGGCAGAACUGACAUGUGAACCCAGGCCAUCUGGCUUCAGAAUCCACGUUCUUACCUGCUAUGCUGGAGGGCAUCUCUGAGAGCACUUGAUUGUGAAGUCAGUACUUAGGAUUGGCUGCCGUUCCCUCUUCUGCCUCCAUCCUCCUGCCCAUUUUCUCACCCCUGAUGCUAGAGCACCUGUUCCCUCUUCACCUCUAGAAUGAGGAUCUAGAGAAAUAUCCACACAGAGGCCUGCACUUUCUCCCACUAGGGCAGCUCUGCAAAGAAUUUGCUGUUUUGGAACACAUAAGGCUCUCUGGACACCACCAUUGGCUCUGUAGGAUUCUUUGGUAAUAGGCACUUUAUGUGGAUUCAGACAUUUGUGAAUGCUUGUCAGGAAUCCUGGUCACCCUUCACAGUUUUGAUCAUAUGGGAAAAUAUGUUCCUGGUUCCGACAACUGAUUUACACAUACACUUUUGGAACAUAAUCUACUUUUAAGUUGUUCACUACCUGUGUAUGUACUAAGUACUGAAUUAGGUGUUAAUGAACUUCUGCACCUUUUAUAUGUCUGUGUGUCUGCUUUAUCAUAGCUCAAUAGCCUUGCUAAUCUUUUGGGAAGGAGUAAGGAGAGGUUUUACUUGAUUUUGAGAUAUACUUUGUCUUUUCCAGACCUUGGUAUGUGGCUCAACAGUGAGUAGGAUUAUAAUAAGUUGUCGCUUAGGAGAAACUGAAUGUUAUCUCAUUAUAUUCGUUUUAACACAAAUAGAAUCUUUAGGGUAGAAUUUGCCACAUCUCAACAGUUCUUUUUUAAGCAUAAUACUUGGAUUGUUGAACUGCAUUGUUGCUUAAGUGGUAGUCUAAAGGAGAAGGAGUAAAUUAAAGCCUUUUAGCAAUGAUUUUUUUCUAACGAGUUUCCUUCUCUGCACUCCGACU
Long non-coding RNA from Equus asinus (donkey), 2056 nucleotides. NCBI's taxonomy places the organism in Eukaryota, Metazoa, Chordata, Mammalia, Perissodactyla, Equidae. The record is from Ensembl.